RNAcentral lists this small nucleolar RNA (120 nucleotides) under Cavia porcellus (domestic guinea pig). The record is from RNAcentral. Lineage: Eukaryota; Metazoa; Chordata; Mammalia; Rodentia; Caviidae.
AAGGUUUCAGAGCUGCUUUCUAUCAAGAGAAAACAUAUUUCUGACGUGCUGAAUAACCCUUUGGAGGCAAAUUAGUAGCAGGACUAAUGUAGCUAUGACUGUCUAUCCCUUCAGACAAGC